GCUGAAUCCCCGAUUACUAGACAACUCCGACUUCAUGUGGGCGGGUUGCAGCCCACAAUCCGAACUGGGACCACUUUUUUGAGAUCCGCUCCCCCUCUCAGGCUCGCUUCUCUCUGUAGUGGCCAUUGUAGCACGUGUGUAGCCCAGGUCAUAAGGGGCAUGAUGAUUUGACGUCGUCCCCACCUUCCUCCGAGUUGUCCCCGGCAGUCUUAUCAGAGUCCUCAGCAUUAUCUGUUAGUAACUGAUCACAAGGGUUGCGCUCGUUGCGGGACUUAACCCAACAUCUCACGACACGAGCUGACGACAACCAUGCACCACCUGUCUCAAUACGGACCGAAGUCCACGAUGUAUCUCUACAAGUUUUAUUGGAUGUCAAGACCUGGUAAGGUUCUUCGCGUUGCUUCGAAUUAAACCACAUGCUCCGCUGCUUGUGCGGGCCCCCGUCAAUUCCUUUGAGUUUCAACCUUGCGGCCGUACUCCCCAGGCGGAAUGCUUAUUGUGUUAACUCCGGCACAGAAGGGGUCGAUACCCCCUACACCUAGCAUUCAUCGUUUACAGGGUGGGACUACCA
Molecule: ribosomal RNA, 571 nt
Filed under: uncultured bacterium
Lineage: Bacteria
Description: partial 16S ribosomal RNA
Source: RNAcentral